Long non-coding RNA from Chinchilla lanigera (long-tailed chinchilla), 673 nucleotides. RefSeq lists it as uncharacterized. NCBI's taxonomy places the organism in Eukaryota, Metazoa, Chordata, Mammalia, Rodentia, Chinchillidae. The transcript has 4 exons. The record is from RefSeq and is a predicted model, not a curated record.
CUGAGGUGUUUGAAGUCUCCGGCGCCAGGGUUUCGUGGAGUUUUUGCUAGAAAGCGUCCUUCCUGUCACUCUGACAAGGCACGAAUUGAGAGUCCAUCCAAGAAAUGUAUACGUUUGGAAAAGAAAAACAUGUAUAAAUAUUUGAAUACUAAAUUCAUUGAGACAUCGUGAGAUUAAUACAAGUUACCUUUGGCCUCUGUGAUUGGCCUCUGAGAUGCUCAGAAUGGUGGAAUCAAACUCAUGACCUCAAGCUUGCCAAGCAAGGACUUAUGCCACUGAGCUACAUCCCUGGACCUGAUGUGAAUCUUUUCUCAUCCCUUGCCCUGAUGUGCAUAACUUGAUUCUGGAUAUAAGGUUACAUCAGACAUACCCAGAUCAAGGGACCGUCUACAAAAUCACUGGCCUGUUAUCUUCAAAAGUGUCAUGAAGGUGAAGGAAAGACUAAGGAACUAUUCCAGACUAAAGAAGACUAAAGAGGGAUGAAAAGCGGAAGGAAUGUGUGAUCCCAGGCUGGAUUCUUUUUCAAGGGCAUUCUUGGGACAAUUGGCAAAGCUUGAAUGGGGUCUAUUGGUGAGACUGUAGUAAAGUAUCAUUGUCAAUGCUCCGGUUUUGAUGGUCAUAUUGUGCUCAUGUAAGAGAAUACUGCUGCUUGUAGGAAAUAAACAUCAAAGUA